GCACUGGUGGUUCAGUGGUAGAAUUCUUGCCUUGCAUUCAGGAGACGCAGGUUCGAUUCUCAGUCAAUGCA
RNAcentral lists this transfer RNA (71 nucleotides) under Loxodonta africana (African savanna elephant). It matches the Rfam family "tRNA". From Rfam's summary of the family: Transfer RNA (tRNA) molecules are approximately 80 nucleotides in length. Their secondary structure includes four short double-helical elements and three loops (D, anti-codon, and T loops). Lineage: Eukaryota; Metazoa; Chordata; Mammalia; Proboscidea; Elephantidae. The record is from Rfam by way of RNAcentral.